This 566-nucleotide ribosomal RNA is filed under the name uncultured bacterium. RNAcentral's name for it is "partial 16S ribosomal RNA". It matches the Rfam family "Bacterial small subunit ribosomal RNA", at positions 355 to 914 of the family's 1533-position model. The record is from RNAcentral.
UGGAGAAUUUUGGACAAUGGGCGAAAGCCUGAUCCAGCAAUGCCGCGUGUGUGAAGAAGGCCUUCGGGUUGUAAAGCACUUUUGUCCGGAAAGAAAUCCUUGGCUCUAAUACAGUCGGGGGAUGACGGUACCGGAAGAAUAAGCACCGGCUAACUACGUGCCAGCAGCCGCGGUAAUACGUAGGGUGCAAGCGUUAAUCGGAAUUACUGGGCGUAAAGCGUGCGCAGGCGGUUUGCUAAGACCGAUGUGAAAUCCCCGGGCUCAACCUGGGAACUGCAUUGGUGACUGGCAGGCUAGAGUAUGGCAGAGGGGGGUAGAAUUCCACGUGUAGCAGUGAAAUGCGUAGAGAUGUGGAGGAAUACCGAUGGCGAAGGCAGCCCCCUGGGCCAAUACUGACGCUCAUGCACGAAAGCGUGGGGAGCAAACAGGAUUAGAUACCCUGGUAGUCCACGCCCUAAACGAUGUCAACUAGUUGUUGGGGAUUCAUUUCCUUAGUAACGUAGCUAACGCGUGAAGUUGACCGCCUGGGGAGUACGGUCGCAAGAUUAAAACUUAAAGGAAUUGAC